AGACCAUAGAUAGUAUAGAAGACAGCGCGCUAGCGUGUCUAGUCUAUGUAUAUCUAUGGUCGGCACGUCUGGUAGCAUCUCUGGCUGCUGUUGAUCUUGUUUUUGGAGUAAAACACGGUGGAAGCUGAAUUAGUGAGGAUGACUCCUGCUCCUGUCAUCUCUAAGCUCCUCACACAUCUUUACCUGCACAUGAGGAAAAUCACUCCUGUAGAAUGCAGAUGUUCAGAGGGAGAUGAUGCCACAUCUGGUCCAGCUGAUGGAAGGUCUUGAAGUUCUCUGACUGGCCUCGACUGAAGAUGGUCGUCUCACUGGAUUUAAGGUUCAGAUGCUCAGUAACAAACUCCACCAAUGUGCCAACAGGGAAGCUUUAGGUUUAUUAAAUGUUGCUAUGAAGGUUUCGCUGUUUUUCUUUGUGAAUGCAAUGUGCUACAACUGAAACUUGAAUUAGAACUUAGAAGUAAAUCCUUCCAUCUGAAAGGAUUUAGUUGCAUUAAUAACCUCAUAACAUUCUAAUUUUUAUUCCAGUCUUAGUUGGAAAUAGAAUCUCUGUAUUGAUUCAGGUAAAAACUGAACUUCACAGCAUGUUGGAGCAAAACAACCAGAUGAAAACUGUGAUGGUGUUGGAUUGUCAGACCGUAAUAUUGCAGCUCAAAGCAGCUUUUCUAGCUCAGUUCAUUCUGACAUUCAGCUAUGAAUCAACACAGCAGAUGGUGAUCCAUGCUGUGGAAGUCUCACAUCUCCUGAUUUAAUGGAGCUGCUUUGCACUUUUUACACUGUUUAUUCACCAACCUCCUCAUUAAAGGAGAAAACAGGAGAUAUUGUUGGUUCUUCUGUCCCUCUGCAGUUUCCUUAGACUGAAUAUCAAGUUUAUAUUUUAUGUGAUUUCCCAUGUGAGCCAAAGAAGACUUCAAUAAACUCCCUCCAUCCCCUGGAC
Molecule: long non-coding RNA, 934 nt
Organism: Amphiprion ocellaris (clown anemonefish)
Lineage: Eukaryota; Metazoa; Chordata; Actinopteri; Pomacentridae
Exons: 3
Source: RefSeq, a predicted model, not a curated record